UAAGGAAUAUUGCUCAAUGGGAGAAAUCCUGAAGCAGCAACGCCGCGUGGAGGAUGAAGGGUCUAUGACUUGUAAACUCCUGUAAAGAAGGAAAAAAUUCCCAUUAGAUGGGAGAUGAUGGUACUUCUGGAGUAAGCCCCGGCUAACUACGUGCCAGCAGCCGCGGUAAUACGUAGGGGGCAAGCGUUGUCCGGAUUUACUGGGUGUAAAGGGUGCUCAGGCGGAUUUGUAAGUCAGAGGUGAAAUCUUACAGCUUAACUGUGAAAGUGCCUUUGAUAAUGCAAGCCUAGAGUAUGGAAGAGAGUGAUGGAAUAUCUGGUGUAGCAGUGAGAUGCGUAGAUAUCAGAUAGAACACCAAUGGCGAAGGCAGUCACUUGGUCCAUUACUGACGCUAAAGCACGAAAGCGUGGGUAGCAAACA
RNAcentral lists this ribosomal RNA (420 nucleotides) under uncultured bacterium. RNAcentral describes it as "bacterial SSU rRNA". It matches the Rfam family "Bacterial small subunit ribosomal RNA", at positions 355 to 774 of the family's 1533-position model. The record is from RNAcentral.